RNAcentral lists this ribosomal RNA (233 nucleotides) under uncultured bacterium. Its description in RNAcentral is "partial 16S ribosomal RNA". It matches the Rfam family "Bacterial small subunit ribosomal RNA", at positions 15 to 235 of the family's 1533-position model. The record is from RNAcentral.
GAUCAUGGCUCAGGAUGAACGCUAGCUACAGGCUUAACACAUGCAAGUCGAGGGGCAGCAUGAAAGGAACUUCGGUUCUUUUUGAUGGCGACCGGCGCACGGGUGCGUAACGCGUAUCGAACCUGCCUCAUACUCGGGGAUAGCCUUGCGAAAGUAAGAUUAAUACCCGGCGGUCUCGGGAUGGCCGCAUGACUAUCCGAGUGAAGAUUUAUCGGUAUGAGAUGGCGAUGCCG